AGGUGCUGCAUGGCUGUCGUCAGCUCGUGUCGUGAGAUGUUGGGUUAAGUCCCGUAACGAGCGCAACCCUUGUCCUUAGUUACCAGCACGUUAUGGUGGGCACUCUAAUGAGACUGCCGGUGACAAACCGGAGGAAGGUGGGGAGUGACGUCAAGUCAUCAUGGCCCUUACGGCCUGGGCUACACACGUGCUACAAUGGUCGGUACAAAGGGUUGCCAAGCCGCGAGGUGGAGCUAAUCCCAUAAAACCGAUCGUAGUCCGGAUCGCAGUCUGCAACUCGACUGCGUGAAGUCGGAAUCGCUAGUAAUCGUGAAUCAGAAUGUCACGGUGAAUACGUUCCCGGGCCUU
Molecule: ribosomal RNA, 348 nt
Filed under: uncultured Pseudomonas sp.
Lineage: Bacteria; Pseudomonadati; Pseudomonadota; Gammaproteobacteria; Pseudomonadales; Pseudomonadaceae
Description: bacterial SSU rRNA
Rfam family: Bacterial small subunit ribosomal RNA
Source: RNAcentral